UGUGGAAUAGUACCUGGGGAGCUGGGGGGGUGCCGUUGAUGUCCACAUCAACGGCACCCCCCCAGCUCCCCAGGUACUAUUCGCA
Molecule: non-coding RNA, 85 nt
Organism: Pelobates cultripes (western spadefoot toad)
Lineage: Eukaryota; Metazoa; Chordata; Amphibia; Anura; Pelobatidae
Source: the annotation of a GenBank genome assembly